RNAcentral lists this ribosomal RNA (492 nucleotides) under uncultured bacterium. Its description in RNAcentral is "partial 16S ribosomal RNA". It matches the Rfam family "Bacterial small subunit ribosomal RNA", at positions 28 to 507 of the family's 1533-position model. The record is from RNAcentral.
GAUGAACGCUAGCUACAGGCUUAACACAUGCAAGUCGAGGGGAAACGACGUCGAAAGCUUGCUUUUGAUGGGCGUCGACCGGCGCACGGGUGAGUAACGCGUAUCCAACCUGCCCAUCACUUGGGAAUAACCUUGCGAAAGUAAGACUAAUACCCAAUGACAUCCCACGAAGACAUCUGAAUGGGAUUAAAGAUUUAUCGGUGAUGGAUGGGGAUGCGUCUGAUUAGCUUGUUGGCGGGGUAACGGCCCACCAAGGCAACGAUCAGUAGGGGUUCUGAGAGGAAGGUCCCCCACAUUGGAACUGAGACACGGUCCAAACUCCUACGGGAGGCAGCAGUGAGGAAUAUUGGUCAAUGGGCGAGAGCCUGAACCAGCCAAGUAGCGUGCAGGAUGACGGCCCUAUGGGUUGUAAACUGCUUUUAUAAGGGAAUAAAGUGGGUCUCGUGAGACUUUUUGCAUGUACCUUAUGAAUAAGGACCGGCUAAUUCCGUG